Long non-coding RNA from Motacilla alba alba, 709 nucleotides. RefSeq lists it as uncharacterized. NCBI's taxonomy places the organism in Eukaryota, Metazoa, Chordata, Aves, Passeriformes, Motacillidae. The record is from RefSeq and is a predicted model, not a curated record. The transcript has 12 exons.
CGCGCCCCGGCGGGGGCGGCCGCGGCCGCACCACGUGACCGGGGCUAUGUAAGGCGCGCGCUGGCGUCGGGCGCCCCUUUCCGCUCUCGCGACCGCGCGGGCUCCGCGUCCCGCCCGCGGCCCCGCCGUUCAACAUGUAUCAGCUACACUCGUCCUUCCUGUGGCUUCACUGCAGAUCUGCCCCCAAAUGUGGAGACCUAAUACUCCUACCCAAGGAUUUGAAUCCUGCACUUCAGAGGGAUGCAGAAGGAGCAUCAUCUCCUGGCACUGGGAAAUUAAACUGUAAGCUGUUACAAGGCUGCCCUCGACAGAGGAGCCCCAUCCCUCUUGUGUGAGAAGCCAUUUCACCUGUUCCUGAUGUUGGUGAAGACAAGGCCUUCCUAAUUAAAGGCUUCCAGAUGUUUGUCAUUGUGAGGUGUGACAGAGCUGGGAGGUGAUGGACCUGGUAGUGCUGCCAGCAAAAGGUGAUGCUUGCAUGGAGUUGGAGAAAUAAGAUGAAUGUGUCUGAGGAAGGGACUGUGCUGUGCCUGCAGCCUCACUGGGUGAAGAGGCAACUCUGAAACUAGCAUAUGAAGAAUUGAGAAGGUGGAAGAUUGCUGCUGAAUGGGUUACACUUGCAUGAACAGCAUUUUAAAAGCCAGUGUGUUUUUACCUUACUGGUCAUGUUUGCCUGAUAUUGAUUGGAGUGAAUAAAAAUCUGUAAACUCUA